GUGGCUUUAAAUACUCCGCAACACGGACAUGCCCUAAAUAACAACCUCAAGACAGAGAAAACACUCCUAUUUAUUAACUUGAAUUUGCCAU
Long non-coding RNA from Sapajus apella (tufted capuchin), 91 nucleotides. RefSeq lists it as uncharacterized. Lineage: Eukaryota; Metazoa; Chordata; Mammalia; Primates; Cebidae. The record is from RefSeq and is a predicted model, not a curated record. The transcript has 3 exons.